This 496-nucleotide ribosomal RNA is filed under the name uncultured bacterium. Its description in RNAcentral is "bacterial SSU rRNA". It matches the Rfam family "Bacterial small subunit ribosomal RNA", at positions 18 to 507 of the family's 1533-position model. The record is from RNAcentral.
CAUGGCUCAGGAUGAACGCUAGCUACAGGCUUAACACAUGCAAGUCGAGGGGCAGCGCAGUGUAGCAAUACAUGGGCGGCGACCGGCGCACGGGUGCGUAACGCGGUAUCCAACCUUCCGUUACUCUUGGAUAGCCUUCCGAAAGGGAGAUUAAUACCAAGAUGGUAUUCAAAUUCCGCAUGUUAUUUGAAUUAAAGAUUAAUCGGUAACGGAUGGGGAUGCGUGACAUUAGAUAGUAGGCGGGGUAACGGCCCACCUAGUCUACGAUGUCUAGGGGUUCUGAGAGGAAGGUCCCCCACACUGGAACUGAGACACGGUCCAGACUCCUACGGGAGGCAGCAGUGAGGAAUAUUGGUCAAUGGUCUGACGACUGAACCAGCCAUGCCGCGUGAAGGUGACGGCCCUAUGGGUCUUAAACUUCUUUUGCAAGGGAGCAAUAAGGCGCACGUGUGCGUCGAUGAGAGUACCUUGCGAAUAAGCAUCGGCUAACUCCGUG